This 403-nucleotide ribosomal RNA is filed under the name uncultured bacterium. RNAcentral describes it as "bacterial SSU rRNA". It matches the Rfam family "Bacterial small subunit ribosomal RNA", at positions 355 to 776 of the family's 1533-position model. The record is from RNAcentral.
UGGGGAAUAUUGCGCAAUGGGGGAAACCCUGACGCAGCGACGCCGUGUGAAUGAUGAAGUCUUUCGGGAUGUAAAGUUCUGUCAGAGGGAAAGAUAAUGACGGUACCCUCAGAGGAAGCUCCGGCUAAUUAUGUGCCAGCAGCCGCGGUAAUACAUAAGGAGCGAGCGUUAUCCGGAUUUACUGGGCGUAAAGGGCGCGUAGGCUGCAAGAUAAGUCAGGUGUUAAAUUCCAGGGCUCAACCCUGGCACGCGCUUGAUACUAUCUUGCUAGAGAGUGGGAGAGGAAAGUGGAAUUCAUGGUGUAGCGGUGAAAUGCGUAGAUAUCAUGAAGAACACCAGUUGCGAAGGCGGCUUUCUGGCCCAUAUCUGACGCUGAGGCGCGAAAGCGUGGGGAGCAAACAGG